GUAGUCCACGCUGUAAACGAUGGAUACUAGCUGUUUGGAGCAAUCUGAGUGGCUAAGCGAAAGUGAUAAGUAUCCCACCUGGGGAGUACGCACGCAAGUGUGAAACUCAAAGGAAUUGACGGGGGCCCGCACAAGCGGUGGAGCAUGUGGUUUAAUUCGAUGAUACGCGAGGAACCUUACCAAGGUUUAAAUGGAGACUGACAGGUGUAGAGAUACGCCCUUCUUCGGACAGUUUUCAAGGUGCUGCAUGGUUGUCGUCAGCUCGUGCCGUGAGGUGUCAGGUUAAGUCCUAUAACGAGCGCAACCCCUGCCAUUAGUUGCUAACGAGUCAAGUCGAGCCCUCUAGUGGGACUGCCAGUGAUAUACUGGA
This 370-nucleotide ribosomal RNA is filed under the name uncultured bacterium. RNAcentral describes it as "bacterial SSU rRNA". It matches the Rfam family "Bacterial small subunit ribosomal RNA", at positions 790 to 1167 of the family's 1533-position model. The record is from RNAcentral.